This 515-nucleotide ribosomal RNA is filed under the name uncultured bacterium. RNAcentral's name for it is "bacterial SSU rRNA". It matches the Rfam family "Bacterial small subunit ribosomal RNA", at positions 8 to 524 of the family's 1533-position model. The record is from RNAcentral.
AGAGUUUGAUCCUGGCUCAGGACGAACGCUGGCGGCGUGCUUAACACAUGCAAGUCGAACGAUGAUCCGGUGCUUGCACCGGGGAUUAGUGGCGAACGGGUGAGUAACACGUGAGUAACCUGCCCUGGACUCUGGGAUAACUUCGGGAAAUCGGAGCUAAUACCGGAUAGGACCUUUCCUCGCAUGAGGUUGGGUGGAAAGUUUUUUCGGUUUGGAAUGGACUCGCGGCCUAUCAGCUUGUUGGUGAGGUAAUGGCUCACCAAGGCGUCGACGGGUAGCCGGCCUGAGAGGGUGACCGGCCACACUGGGACUGAGACACGGCCCAGACUCCUACGGGAGGCAGCAGUGGGGAAUAUUGCACAAUGGGCGCAAGCCUGAUGCAGCAACGCCGCGUGCGGGAUGACGGCCUUCGGGUUGUAAACCGCUUUUAGUAAGGAAGAAGGGCAGUCUUCGGGCUGUUUGACGGUACUUGCAGAAAAAGGACCGGCUAACUACGUGCCAGCAGCCGCGGUAAU